This 253-nucleotide ribosomal RNA is filed under the name uncultured bacterium. RNAcentral's name for it is "partial 16S ribosomal RNA". It matches the Rfam family "Bacterial small subunit ribosomal RNA", at positions 524 to 776 of the family's 1533-position model. The record is from RNAcentral.
UACGUAGGGCGCAAGCGUUGUCCGGAUUUAUUGGGCGUAAAGAGCUCGUAGGCGGUUUGUCGCGUCUGCUGUGAAAACUGGAGGCUCAACCUCCAGCCUGCAGUGGGUACGGGCAGACUAGAGUGCGGUAGGGGAGAUUGGAAUUCCUGGUGUAGCGGUGGAAUGCGCAGAUAUCAGGAGGAACACCGAUGGCGAAGGCAGAUCUCUGGGCCGUAACUGACGCUGAGGAGCGAAAGCAUGGGGAGCGAACAGG